RNAcentral lists this long non-coding RNA (293 nucleotides) under Setaria viridis. Its description in RNAcentral is "long non-coding RNA (SVIR_LNC003654)". The record is from RNAcentral. Lineage: Eukaryota; Viridiplantae; Streptophyta; Magnoliopsida; Poales; Poaceae.
UUAUACGACUGUCCAGGUCGUACAUAACAACCUCUCGAUUAGCAAAAUCAAUGAUUAGGAAUACGACUACCCGGACCCAGGGAUGCACCCCCACAUGGGACCCCACGUCUGGCCCGAUCACCAUGUGAGUUUCAGGCUACACCCCUGCCAAUCUCCAGCACGUCAAGCGCGGGUACGAAGUAUUCCUAAUCAUAGAGUUUACUAACCUACUGGGCUUUACUGGUCCCAUACCCAGUAAGUGAUCAGAUGCUUAUCACUUGAUCAAAGGUUAAGACAACGAAUCGGGCCUUAAC